RNAcentral lists this long non-coding RNA (3267 nucleotides) under Homo sapiens (human). RNAcentral describes it as "novel transcript". The record is from RNAcentral. Lineage: Eukaryota; Metazoa; Chordata; Mammalia; Primates; Hominidae.
UACUUGUAUUUGCUCCAGCUACUAGAGCACACAGAGAGUAGCUCUUCAGUUAGGAGAGAGAAGUCAGGGAAGGCCUCCACAGAGGGUUAUUUUAGCUGAGCUUUAUAGAAAAACAUGGGGAAAGGACUUGAAAAAGUAUGUAGGUGACUUUUAGUAUCAGCUCCAACAUGUAAAGAGCUUGGAAGUCAUCACAUCCCUCCUCACAGCAAAAACAAACAAAAAACUGUACAGAUUGGAAUAUCAAUGGCUUUUCUUAGAUCCAUGGAAGAAUUAAAGUCAUAGGACAAACCACCACUCAAAACCCUGGAGAGACAGGCAAAUACAGAGAAUCACAAUUGGGAUCAGCUUACUGGGAGAAGAGGCUGCUGGUCAGUGACUGCUAGGAACACUAAAAUGACUCAUGGAGGUACUACCUUGAUGGUCUUGGAAAAGAUCCAGAAGAAUUCUCUGCAUUAUCAGGCAGAGAGACUCCUGUUCCAUUCUGUUACUUUCUUCCAAGCAAAAAGAGUCUCACUCUCCUUGUUCUGAGCCACAUAAAGCCGGCGGUGGAGUGACACAAGCAUCCCUGUGGCCACCACCACUAUGACUGCAUUGGGUCAGACCUGAAGCCAGCACAGCAGUGGGGCUUGCCAAGGCUGGCUGUAACCACUUCCUGGCUACUGCCUAUGUUUGCUGAAGGCCCUGGGGCUCUACAAUUAGCUGGUGGCAAAGCCGGCCAGGCCUGUGUCCUUCCCUUCAGAGCCGUGAGGUCCCCCAGGCCCCAGGUGAGUCCAGAGGUGCCUUUUGGGAAUCAGGGACUAGAGUAAAAAAACUUGGAAGUCUAGCUGGUGUUCUAUUGUACUGUGGCUGAGCUGGUAUUCAGACCACCAGAUGCAGUCCUUCCCACUCUUCCUUUCCCUUCCCAAAUGCAGAGGAGCCUCACCCCAUAGCCACUGUCAACCCAGGCCACGAGGAGUACUGCCAGGCUACCUCCAAUAUUCCCUUAAGCAUCGAGGUAUCUUAAGUCAAGCUUGUGUUGAAUGCUUCCUGCCUUGGGACUCGCCCUUCAGGGCAAUGGGUUCCCCUCUGGCCUGGGGCAGGUGCAGAAAUGGUGUCCAACAGUCAAGUCCUGGAAUCGGAGACCUCAAGAGCCCACUUGGUGCUUUACCCCACUGUGGCUGUGCUGGUACCUAAGGUGCAAGACAAAGCCCUCUUUACUUUUCCUUCUGCUUUUCUCAAACAGAAGGAGUUUUGCCUUGUUGCCACCACAGCUAGUAAUGUGCUGAGUCUCACCUGAAGCCAGCAAGUCUCAGAGGCUCAACCAAGGGCCUUGACAUAGUACCUAAAUGUAACUGCUGGUUAUUCAGGGUCCUGCCAACCUUCAGUUAGCAGGUGAUGAAUGCUGCCAGGACUGAGUCCUUUUCUUCAAGGUAGUGGGUUUCCUUCUGACCCAUGGUGUGUCUAGAAAUGUCAUCUGGGAACUAGGGCCUGGAAUGGGGGCCUCACGACUCUUCCCAGUCCCCUAUUCUGCCGCAGCUGAACUGGUAUCCAAGAUGCAAGAUGAAGUCCUCCCCACUCUUCUUUCUCCUCUCCACAAGCAGAAGGAAAGGGUCUCCUUUGGAGCCACGGGCUGUGCAGCCUGGAGUUAGGGAAGGGGUGACGCCAGCACGCCCUUGGCUGCCUUAGCUGGUGUCUCAGUAUGUCACCUGCCCUCCCAGUUAACUGCCUCUGGGCCUAGUUCAGCACUAGAACUCGCCUGAGAUCUGCAGUCUUCAUGGCCUGGGCUGCCUUUCAAGUUUACUUGGAGACCCAGACUGUAGCCCUCGGUGGUGAGGUUUGCAGGAACUCAAGUUUAGACCACUGGGAUCAGUGAUUCCCCUCUGGGUAGGGCUGUUAUUAAAUGCUCCCUCCAUGGGCAGGCGUCAGCUGAGUUGGGUGUGGUUUUCCUUCCUGCCGUAACAGGACAGCACUGAGUUCAGUGCAUCACAGUUGCUGUGUUCUCCCUCCCGUGCACGCAGAGAUAUCCUCAGUACCACAACACAGCUGCAGGGGCAGAGGGGCGUCAGUGAUUCAGGACUGUUUUUGCUAUUUCUUCGGUGUCUCUUUCAGCAUUAUAAAGUUAAGAGCAGGUACUAUGAGUGCUCACCUGAUUUUUAACACCUCAUGAAGUUGUUAAAUUGGUGUCCUUGUGGAGGGGGAUGAUAGCUGCAGUCUUCUAUUCCUCCAUUUUUCUCUGUCUCCUCAUUUUUUUUUUUUUUUUUUUGGAGACGGAGUCUUGCUCUGUCACCCAGGCUGGAGUGCAAUGGCACGAUCUCGGCUCACUGCAGCCUCCGCCUCCAGGUUCAAGCGAUUCUCCUGCCUCAGACUCCUGAGUAGCUGGGACUACAGGUGCUACCAUGAACAGCUAAAUUUAAUUUUUUUAAUUAUUAUAUAUUGUGGGCGAAGGAUUACCUAGGUGCCGAGGCAAGAGACUAAAGGCACAAACUGUUUCAGUAUAAUAAAGAAAAUAGAAUAAGAAUAGUCAUAAUACAAAUUAGAUAUAGAGAUGAUCGUGGACAAUUAUCAAUCAUUAUUAUAAACAUUAUUAAUCAUUAGCUUUUAAUAUUACUCUUUGUUGCAUUACUAAUAUAACCUAGGAAUAACCAGCGGGUAUAGGGUCAGGUGCUGAAAGCACAUUGUGACAAGUUACCUAGAAGGCAAGAGCUGAGCCUUCUGUCACGCCCGCAUAAGGGCCGCUUGAGGGCUCCUUGGUCAAGCGGUAAUGCCAGUGUCUGGGAAGACACCCACGACGUAGCAGACCGCAAAAGGGAGUCUCCUUUCCUUGGUGGAGUCAGGGAACACUCUGCUCCACCAGCUUCUUGUGGGAGGCUGGAUGUUAUCCAGGCCUGCCCACAGUUAUCCGGAGGCCUAAACCCCUCCCUGUGGUGCUGUGCUUCAGUGGUCACGCUCCUUGUCCACUUUCAUGCUCCUCCAGCACUCCUGGUUCCUCUUUGAAGUUCGUAGUAGAUAACGGUAGAAGAAAUAGUGAAAGGCUUAAAGUCUUUGACCUUUCUUAUAAGUGCAUAGAAGAAAACGCUGAUGUAUGCCACCUUCUCUCUGCUUCAGCUACCUAAAAGGGAAGGGCCCCCUGUCCUAUGAUCACAUGACUUGCUUCAACUUGUCAAUCACUUAGAAGAUUCACCCUCCUUACCCUGCCCCCUGGUCUUGUAUGCAAUAAAUAUCAGCGUGCCCAGCCAUUCGGGACCACUACCUGUCUCCGUGUCUUAAUGGUAGUGGUCCCCUGGGCCC